Molecule: ribosomal RNA, 374 nt
Filed under: uncultured microorganism
Description: bacterial SSU rRNA
Rfam family: Archaeal small subunit ribosomal RNA
Source: RNAcentral
GUGCAGCAGGCGAGAAACUUUACAAUGUGCGAAGCACGAUAAGGGAACUCUGAGUGCCUCCUAAGGAGGCUGUUCAGGUGUCUAAAAGCACCUGAAGGAAGGGCUGGGUAAGACCGGUGCCAGCCGCCGCGGUAACACCGGCAGCCCAAGUGGUAGCCACGUUUAUUGGGUCUAAAGCGUCCGUAGCCGGCUGGGUAAGUUCCUUGGGAAAUUUGGCUGCUUAACAGUCAAGCUUUCAGGGAAUACUGCCCGGCUUGGGACCGGGAGAGGUCAGAGGUACUCCAGGGGUAGGGUGAAAUCCAUUAAUCCUUGGGGGACCACCGGUAGCGAAGGCGUCUGACCAGACCGGGUCCGACGGUGAGGGACGAAGGCUA